This 910-nucleotide ribosomal RNA is filed under the name Nocardiopsis dassonvillei subsp. dassonvillei. Its description in RNAcentral is "bacterial SSU rRNA". It matches the Rfam family "Bacterial small subunit ribosomal RNA", at positions 40 to 956 of the family's 1533-position model. The record is from RNAcentral. Lineage: Bacteria; Bacillati; Actinomycetota; Actinomycetes; Streptosporangiales; Nocardiopsidaceae.
CGGCGUGCUUACCUGCAAGUCGAGCGGUAAGGCCCUUCGGGGUACACGAGCGGCGAACGGGUGAGUAACACGUGAGCAACCUGCCCCUGACUCUGGGAUAAGCGGUGGAAACGCCGUCUAAUACCGGAUACGACCUGUCGUCUCAUGACGGUGGGUGGAAAGUUUUUCGGUCAGGGAUGGGCUCGCGGCCUAUCAGCUUGUUGGUGGGGUAACGGCCUACCAAGGCGAUUACGGGUAGCCGGCCUGAGAGGGCGACCGGCCACACUGGGACUGAGACACGGCCCAGACUCCUGCGGGAGGCAGCAGUGGGGAAUAUUGCGCAAUGGGCGAAAGCCUGACGCAGCGACGCCGCGUGGGGGAUGACGGCCUUCGGGUUGUAAACCUCUUUUACCACCAACGCAGGCUUCCGGUUUUCCGGGGGUUGACGGUAGGUGGGGAAUAAGGACCGGCUAACUACGUGCCAGCAGCCGCGGUAAUACGUAGGGUCCGAGCGUUGUCCGGAAUUAUUGGGCGUAAAGAGCUCGUAGGCGGCGUGUCGCGUCUGCUGUGAAAGACCGGGGCUUAACUCCGGUUCUGCAGUGGAUACGGGCAUGCUAGAGGUAGGUAGGGGAGACUGGAAUUCCUGGUGUAGCGGUGAAAUGCGCAGAUAUCAGGAGGAACACCGGUGGCGAAGGCGGGUCUCUGGGCCUUACCUGACGCUGAGGAGCGAAAGCAUGGGGAGCGAACAGGAUUAGAUACCCUGGUAGUCCAUGCCGUAAACGUUGGGCGCUAGGUGUGGGGACUUUCCACGGUUUCCGCGCCGUAGCUAACGCAUUAAGCGCCCCGCCUGGGGAGUACGGCCGCAAGGCUAAAACUCAAAGGAAUUGACGGGGGCCCGCACAAGCGGCGGAGCAUGUUGCUUAAUUCGACG